UACGAAGGGGGCAAGCGUUGUUCGGAAUUACUGGGCGUAAAGGGCGCGUAGGCGGCCUUCUAAGUCGAACGUGAAAUCCCUGGGCUCAACCCAGGAACUGCGUCCGAUACUGGAAGGCUUGAAUCCGGGAGAGGGAUGCGGAAUUCCAGGUGUAGCGGUGAAAUGCGUAGAUAUCUGGAGGAACACCGGUGGCGAAGGCGGCAUCCUGGACCGGUAUUGACGCUGAGGCGCGAAAGCCAGGGGAGCAAACGGG
This 253-nucleotide ribosomal RNA is filed under the name uncultured bacterium. RNAcentral's name for it is "partial 16S ribosomal RNA". It matches the Rfam family "Bacterial small subunit ribosomal RNA", at positions 524 to 776 of the family's 1533-position model. The record is from RNAcentral.